GGAGGGUUGGCCGAGCGGACGAAGGCAGCGGUCUUGAAAACCGCCGUGCGGCGUGAGCCGUACCGUGGGUUCGAAUCCCACACCCUCCG
RNAcentral lists this transfer RNA (89 nucleotides) under Nitriliruptoraceae bacterium. RNAcentral's name for it is "tRNA-Ser". It matches the Rfam family "tRNA". Rfam says of the family: Transfer RNA (tRNA) molecules are approximately 80 nucleotides in length. Their secondary structure includes four short double-helical elements and three loops (D, anti-codon, and T loops). Further hydrogen bonds mediate the characteristic L-shaped molecular structure. tRNAs have two regions of fundamental functional importance: the anti-codon, which is responsible for specific mRNA codon recognition, and the 3' end, to which the tRNAs corresponding amino acid is attached (by aminoacyl-tRNA synthetases). tRNAs cope with the degeneracy of the genetic code in two manners: having more than one tRNA (with a specific anti-codon) for a particular amino acid; and 'wobble' base-pairing, i.e. permitting non-standard base-pairing at the 3rd anti-codon position. RNAcentral also lists the same sequence under 2 other names. Lineage: Bacteria; Bacillati; Actinomycetota; Nitriliruptoria; Nitriliruptorales; Nitriliruptoraceae. The record is from RNAcentral.